This 1104-nucleotide long non-coding RNA is filed under the name Haliotis rufescens (red abalone). RNAcentral's name for it is "uncharacterized LOC124149768". The record is from RNAcentral. Lineage: Eukaryota; Metazoa; Mollusca; Gastropoda; Lepetellida; Haliotidae.
UUUAAGACGCGUGGGACGCUGAUCCCCGGAUGUUCGCUACUAUAAAGCCUACUGGAGACACUUGUACGCUACCCCAUCUCCGGCAAAGCGCAAGAUAACGAUCAUCAACAAACCCUGGUUUGAAAGCUCCAAACACCUGCAGUGAGAAUGAGCACCAUUCAGCCACAAAUCAACGUUAUCUUGUACAGCAAUGCCAACCUUAAUGGCGACUGUGUACCAGUCCAGGGAGACAUAUCGGAUUUGGCUGGCUUUAAAAACCGGGCACAAUCCGCCAUUGUAAUCAAUGGAAAUUGGGAGCUGACAAGCAGUGCGGGAAACACUUAUGCUAUGACCGAGGGCACCGGAAAGUAUACAAGCCUUGGCGGUUUCAACCAAAAGGCCGUCUCCAUCAGGCGAACAUAAGGCGACGUUGCCAUGAAGCACGCCCUUUCAAGGAAGGAUGGAUUGAACAAGAGCUGACAUAGCAGCCACCUUAUUAGCGCAGCUUAAUGCUUUUUCCUUGUUAUAUACUCCAGAUCACCUUGCUAUUAAUGUCCAAUAUUUAGAUUUGCUUUAGUGGGUUACACUCACUGCCUUUAAGAACAGAAUUUGAAUUCAAAAUCAUCAAUGGUCAUUAUUUCAAUGAGCAAUUACAGAAUUAUAACCCCAAAUACGUUGCCGGUAAUUUCUUAGUGAAAUUCUAAAGAUCGAAAAUACAACGCAGGAAAUAAUUGUUCUUUUCUAUUCUGUUGCUCUUAGUGUAACACUAGCAUUUCCGUCUGUACGCCUUGCAUCACAUGUGCUGCUAUGAUCUGUCUAUUUUACAACGAAAACUCAAAGGAUGCAGUUGACAUUUUGUUGUCGUCUCAAACUGACGUAGAUGUACUUAAAGCUUCAACAUGUGUCAGUAUCAGAUUAAAUUAUAAGGAACAGUCCAUGUUUCUGCAUUCGCUACUAUUUUAAAUGAUAAUGAAAGUUCUUCUCUCAAGUAGUUUCAUAUGGGGCUUUGCGGUUUAAAAUGUCAUUUCACACCAAACUGAAACAGGAAAUAAAAAACAAAACUCAAUUUAUACUUUGACUUGGUCAUCGUUCGUUGUUGAAAAUAAAUAUUCGAUGAAAUAUAAA